Molecule: ribosomal RNA, 253 nt
Filed under: uncultured bacterium
Lineage: Bacteria
Description: partial 16S ribosomal RNA
Rfam family: Bacterial small subunit ribosomal RNA
Source: RNAcentral
UACGGAGGCAGCGAGCGUUACCCGGAUUUACUGGGUGUAAAGGGCGUGUAGGCGGUCUCUCAAGUACGAUGCUAAAGACCGAAGCUCAACUUCGGGAGUGCGUUGGAUACUGUGAGGCUAGACGGUCGGAGGGGGUAGCGGAAUUUCCGGAGUAGCGGUGAAAUGCGCAGAUACCGGAAGGAACGCCGAUAGCGAAGGCAUCUACCUGGACUCUUGGUGACGCUGAGGCGCGAAAGCGUGGGGAGCAAUCCGG